UCUCCCCUGCUAACCAUUUUCCCUUAGCCCCUAGGUAAUUGGGAGACUUCAGCUUCCAGAAUACAUCAUCUCUUACCUAAACAAGAAACCUAUUACUUAAAUUUGAAAUUAAGACUUUUGCCAGUAUAUUGGCUUAUGCAUUUGUGUCAGCAUUUUGGGAGAGGCACACAAAUAAGAAGAAAGCAGACCAGAGAAUUCUGAGCAUGCUCAUCAUUCAACAGUUAUGUCAGGUACUGGGCCACUUCUGAAAUAGAAGUAGAAAUGCAUUUUCAAUAAAUGAAAUGGGCCCCUCCAUCUGUCUGCAGCCUGUGAUUGUCAGACAGUGUUUGCUAUUGGCUUACAGAAAUUUCCAGACCUCAUUUCAUGAAACUAAAUGAUACACAUGACUAAGAAAAAUAUUCAUGCAUCUUCAAUUUAGUUUCUGAGGCUGCAAGUGAGGCAUAAAUUCAGAAAUGGACAGGGAGAAUUAUGAAAAAGUAAGGCAUGCACAACACAAUGAGAUGCAUUCAAUAAUCAAGCAGGUGUUACAUUUUUUUAAAAAAGACAUAAAAAUACGCUGCUUCGUUGGUGCAACAAGGGACCAGUGCCUGGCAAUCAGGGUCUAGAACAUCAGGACAAGCUGCAAAGUAAGAUUCCUACAACUGCUGCGUGAUACAGUGGUUUUAGGCAUCUGUGUUCCUGGUACUCUGCCCUGUCCCCCUCACAGGACAGCGAGCCUUCCUCUGCUGCGUGAUACAGUGGUUUUAGGCAUCUGUGUUCCUGGUACUCUGCCCUGUCCCCCUCACAGGACAGCGAGCCUUCCUCUGCUGUCAGUAUGGACUGAUUCUGAAUCAGGCUGCCGGCUUCUCCAGAGGAGUUGCUCUUGGCUGAUGAGAGCCACUCCGCCAGCAGGUUCACCACACCCCCCAAACUCAAAAACCAGGUGACCGAAGGACGUGGGGAAAACUGGAUAUAAAUCAUCAAGCCCUAGCCUCCAAGGGGACCGCCUGGGAUUCUAUCCACGGCAUGGAGUUCCUCUGGAAUCAGGCUGACACUGGGCUCCGGCUGAGAGCACAUCCCUAUCCAGCUCCUUUCUCUGCCAUUUCCCUCACCCCUCACCGGCUGAGAACACACCCUCAAUCAAGCACAAGCCCAUGAAUCCCCAUGUCUGACUUCUGGGCAACCCCACUUAAAACCAAGAUAUAAAUAUCAUUAAAAAUUAACCAGCCUUUUCACUGUCAGCCAGGUGUCAACCACAGGUGGUACAGACAGCAGUUAGUCCUAAUGCGUAGAAGAAAGCAGCUUAUUAAUGAUUAAGAGACUAACCUUUGGGGCCCAGCAUCCUGGGGCCCAAAUCAUAACUCUGACCCAUACCAGGUGAGCGAUCUCAGCUAAAUUACAUAAACUCUCCAAGCUCCAACUCCUCCUGUGAUAAAUACUGAAAAUAAUAUCCGCACCUUAGCACUGCUGAGGAAAUAAAAAUGAGGUGACGUUUAUCUGAAGAGCUUAGUAUACAGAGUGAUGACGGCACUGUGGACACGGUCACCUCUAUCUUACGACAAACCAGGUCAUUCAAGGUACACCAAAGAAGCACAACGCCGAGUUUCCAAUGCCUGGGAAAGUUUUCCUUGGAGGAGGAGGAAUCCAGGAGUGAGGUAAGCAGUGUGGGAGGGAAAAGUAAGCAGAAGAUGGCUUAAAUUCCUGAAGAGUCUAAGCCUGAAAGGGACCGCGGGGGUGAUCCAGCCUCCACUUCUCCCUGAUUCUCCAAACGCACCGAGAAGAAAAUUGAGGUCCGACGAGGUUAAGUGGUAUGUUCAAGGUUUGCUAUUUACAGACAUGUAAGAAGCUCGACAUCAGAAGCUUGCUCCGUUGGUGUGUAGUAGAAAAUUAGAACUGCUGGAAUGGUGGGGGGUAAGGGCAGGGGACAGGAUCAGGAUUAAUCUUGUUUUUGUAGCGCCAUCUGGGAGAAAACGCGAGUGUCUGCCCAGGUUUGAAAGUCCGAGUUUUCUGCUUCUUCCUGGGUGUGCAGACAAUCUCUACUUCCCAGCCUCCCUGCAGGUGGUUGAGGCCAGGUGAUCUAGUGGGUGACCACUGGAAUGUGGGCAGAGAGGAGGCAUGUUGCUUCCUAGCAUGGCCCACACAAAUCGCCUCUGCAUCAUUCUCCUUGCUCUCUUCCCUGCUGUCCCUAGAGGCGUGGGCUGCAGAUGCAGGCACCACAGGCAGAACAUCGGGGUUCCUGGACGGCAGCACGACACCCAGCCACCAUGGCCCCUGUGCUGGAAGAUGCCAUGACAAAAAUAAGAAGUUCGCGCAUCUCCUGCUAAUGGAAACCUCAUCCAAUAAUCUCCUCUCAUCUAAUACUGAUAAAGACAUCAAAUGCUCCACACGGCACAGAGGGAAUUUCAAUCUGAGACCAUAGGUGCUGCUCAGAAAUGAAGGCUGAGGCGAGAAAUGCACCAGAGGGUCAUUGGCGCAAAAGGACUCAAGACGUGCGACGUCCAACUGGGUAACACUGGCCCCCUGAGCUCCUGAAUGGUGGCUGCUGCAGAUCCACGUGUGCUCGGAGACUGAAAUACACGCGAGAUUGGGAAGGCCAGCUACAAUUUACAACAAGAAAUGGAUCAGGGGAGUUCCCAUCUUGGUCCAGCGCUAACGAACCCAACUAGUAUCCCUGAGGCUGAGGGUUCAAUCCCUGGACACACUCCGGGGGUUGGGGAUCUGGCAUUGCCAUGAGCUGU
Sus scrofa (pig) is the source of this 2717-nucleotide non-coding RNA. Lineage: Eukaryota; Metazoa; Chordata; Mammalia; Artiodactyla; Suidae. The record is from RefSeq and is a predicted model, not a curated record.